RNAcentral lists this ribosomal RNA (500 nucleotides) under uncultured bacterium. RNAcentral describes it as "partial 16S ribosomal RNA". It matches the Rfam family "Bacterial small subunit ribosomal RNA", at positions 29 to 523 of the family's 1533-position model. The record is from RNAcentral.
AUUGAACGCUGGCGGCAUGCUUUACACAUGCAAGUCGAACGGGGUGGAGGGGCAACCUUCCAUUCAGUGGCGAACGGGUGAGUAAUGCAUCGGAACGUGUCCCGUAGUGGGGGAUAACGCCGGGGAACCGGCGCUAAUACCGCAUAUGCUCUACGGAGGAAAGUGGGGGACCUGAAAGGGCCUCACGCCAUGGGAGCGGCCGAUGUCCGAUUAGCUAGUUGGCGGGGUAAAGGCCCACCAAGGCGACGAUCGGUAGCUGGUCUGAGAGGAUGAUCAGCCACACUGGGACUGAGACACGGCCCAGACUCCUACGGGAGGCAGCAGUGGGGAAUUUUGGACAAUGGGGGCAACCCUGAUCCAGCCAUGCCGCGUGCGGGAAGAAGGCCUUCGGGUUGUAAACCGCUUUUAGCCGGAAAGAAAAGGCGGAGGCUAAUACCCUCCGUUCUUGACGGUACCGGCGGAAUAAGCACCGGCUAACUACGUGCCAGCCGCCGCGGUAA